CCCACACCCAUAUGUGUAGGACCCUAAAGGAUCACCAUUAAAUUUGGCACAAAUCUCUAGAAAAGUUAUCACAUAGAAGUGGGAUUUAACUUUUCUAGAGAUAUGUGCCAAAUUUAAUAGUGAUCCUUUGAGGUCCUACACACGUGGGUGUGGG
Molecule: microRNA precursor, 154 nt
Filed under: Amborella trichopoda
Lineage: Eukaryota; Viridiplantae; Streptophyta; Magnoliopsida; Amborellales; Amborellaceae
Description: MIR8565 microRNA precursor family
Rfam family: MIR8565 microRNA precursor family
Source: Rfam by way of RNAcentral